UAUAAGAAUCCAUACCGAAACAUCGCAUCAAAUAUAAUAAAGAAGUUGUUAUCCAUAAAGAAUCUUACUUUCUUACGAGUUAUGAUAGCUACUGAAUGCUUGGAUGUGAAGUGUGGUUUGAAACUAACGUCAUCAGACAUUUGCUGCCACCAGUUUGAUGACCCACUUUUUGUAGUCAUCUUGUCAUUGACAGUUAUCACCAGACUUGACAGUAACCAGGAAACCCUUAUGUUGUGUGUUGCUAUUUGUUAUUUCAAGUGGAUCUCUGCCAUGUAUCUACUAUGUGGACAUAGGAAGGUUCAUUGUGGAUAAAAGAUAUACCAAUUUCAUUCUCAAAUUUAGAUUGAUUUUUUUUUUUUUAGCAUUCUCAGCCAUAUUUUAAAUGAAGGCAGGGAACCCCCUUGGUGGGAGAUGAAAGGUGUCCAACCUGACAUACCAUGUUGAGUAUUGUGACCCUUGUUUCCCCACCCGAGCCCCUCGGCAGGUGAUGAAAGGUGUCCAACCUGACAUACCAUGUUGAGUAUUGUGACCCUUGUUUCCCCACCGAACCCCCUCGGCAGGUGAUGAAAGGUGUCCAAUAUUACAUGUCAUGACUUGAGUUGAUGACGUGGUCAUGUGGGCACUUGGUGUCAUGGAACUUGAUGUCACGACUACCGUAUUGUUGCACUAUGAAGGAUCAGAGAAGGUUUUUACAUAAUUUAGGAACUGUCUUUAUGCAAGGAUUACCAGGAGGAAUAAACAAAACAGUAACAUAUCUUUGGCUUUUCCCUUGCUCAUGGUUUUACAUUUUCAUGCAAACCUCAGUCACAUUUAAAAAAAUAUGUUUUCCAGGAAUAUAUACCGGUAUAUCUUGCAGGCAUCUAAUAUAUAUAUGUACUUCUUACAGUUGGGGGGCGGUGUGGUAGCGUAGUGGUAAAAGCGUUCGUUCAUCACGCCGAAGACCCGGGUUCGAAUCCCCACAUGGGUACAAUAUGUGAAGCCCAUUUCUGGUGUCCCCUGCCGUGAUACAGCUGGAAUAUUGCUAAAAGCGGCGUAAAACUAAACUCACUCACUCACUCACUCUCACAGUUGAGCCAUGUGGCUGUAAUUACGUAGAAACAUGGUGGAUCCCACGGAAGUAUACAAUCCCACAACAUCUGUACAUUUCCUUAUGAUAGCACUGUAACUUGUCUGUGUAGAUUCUGUUCAAUAGCAAAUGAAAUCUCCAGGCUACGUUCUUUAGAAAAUCCCUAGUACAGGAAUACUUUCUUCAGAGUAUGAUUCUUGUUGGGGAUAUGCAGUAGAAAUUCCCUGCAGAGAGUUUAUUCUCCAGACAGAAGGUUCUGUGAAGACGGUAGGAUCAUGUUCACCAUGGUUUAUAAGGCCGUGUCGAUACAUCUUGUCCUUUACCACACAAGUGAAAACAUUUCUUAUCUUGACAUUAUCUUGACAUGUUGGGACCACUUUCAUUGUUCCCUGAUGUGAAACAGGUGUGUGGUUUAGAUAGUAGUGCAUUUACACAUGUCCUCGCAAUACUCAAUGUCAUUUGGAACUGACUACUGGCAAGACAUAUGAGGGGGAGCAUUCCGACCAGAACGCAGUUAACUAGUGGUCUUGCUUGUAGCGGUUGUUUUCUGAAGUUACCAUUAUUUGUUUGCUAAUUGUAUAUAAUCCUGACUUGAUCAGAAGAAGAAAUCUAGUCUUGGAAUUAUUUAAUAUUAUACUUUAUGAUGGAGUUUCAGGAUACUGAAUCUUUUCUCAAUGUAUACUGAUAUAAAUUGAAACCAUGAUAUAUAAUCAUGUGAAAUUUCAGUGGGUUAAGAGGGCGGUGGGGUAGCCUAGUGGUUAAAGCGUUCGCUUGUCACGCCAAAGGCCCGGGUUCGAUUCCCCACAUGGGUGCAAUUUGUGAAGCCCUUUUCUGGUGUCCCCCGCCGUGAUAUUGCUGGAAUAUUGCUAAAAACGGCGUAAAACCAUACUCAGUCAGUCAGUUCAGUGGGGUAAGUAAAUUUAAGAGACUAUUUUCUCUUAAUGUUGCAAUAUGGAUGCAAAUGAAAUAAGCCUUGUCAUAUUUCCUUCAAUAAAUUAAACACAUUUGAUAUUAGUAACUAUAACUGUUCUUGAUUUUGUCUUUACAAUUGUACGUUGUCGCAUACAAUAAUUAUUGAUUUGUACAGCUAUGUUAUAGUAUUGACAAACUCGUUAACUGUUUGUUUUACUAGUUGUUUCAACCAUACAAGUGAACAAGAAAUUAUUCAUUCCAGCCUGUGUAACACGUAGUCCCAUAUCAGUAUUUUAUUGCACAUCACAUGAAAUGCUAUUUUCCUUUAAACUACUGACCAAUGUCAGUGAGAUAUUCUCAUGUGAGGAAAGUAAGAUCAUACAGAUGGAUCUUGCCUACAUCUGGACAAAGGCUUUUGGUGUAUUUCUGAACAAUCAGACAGUUAUUCCAGGUUGUUUAACUGUUCCCCUAAGACUGCUGGCAAGGUGUGAAUGUUGCAGAGAAUUUUGAGCUUAAGGAGAUGUGGGCAAAUCUUUAAUAGGGGUAGGACAUUUUGUUGUAAGACAAACUUGGUUUUUGUCAAUUUCAGGAUUUUUUUUUUUUUUUAAAUAUUCUCUUUAGGAAACUAUUUCCUUUUCAAUAAUGAUUAAUUUGCUGCCACUUAAAUGCCUGCUUUUAAGAUUUUGUUUGAUGUUUCAAAACAAAUUUAGAGAUAUUUAGAAAGAUUAUUGACAUUACAUCUUACUUACUUUUCCGCUGACUACAGUAAAAUACCUUUAUAUCAAACUCCAAGGGGCCACUGAAAUUAGUUUGUUAUAUCCGUAGUUCGCUAUUCACUUUUUUAUAUGAUAAUAUAAGGUUUAUUCAGGAUUUUUAGAACAGUUCGCUAUAUCCGUCUGUUCGUUAUAAAAGUAUUCUACUGUAUAAACAAGUGGCCUUGGGGGAAUUCUUUUGGCAAAAGUCACAAAUAUAGAUGAAACUCCCCCAGUUUGUGGUUGUACUGACUGUAAAAGUCUCUAGGAGGUUGUCAGGUUUUGAAGCAUGAUGUUGAUGUUAAAUUAUAGCUCUUACCCCUGAGGCUGGAUUAUUAUGAAAUAUCUCUACAUGCAUGAAACUUUGUAUGGAUCAUUAGAAAUCCUACCACAGGAAAUGUAGGUGACUUGAAAGGUCAAGGUCAUCCUUGGGGUUAUGAAACAUGGCAUUGCAAAUUUAAUUGUACAAUCCUGAGAUUGUAUAAUUGUUUGAUCAUUGUCUUGAUAAAGUAAAAAGUCUGGAGGUCAUUUUUUUGGAUUGGAAAUGUUUGGCAUAAUAUUUUUUGAGCUUUGUGGAAAUGUCAGUGAAGGGGCUGCUUCUGUUUUUACAAGUACUAGCAAACACCUCUAGUAAUUGAUAUUUAAAUUAAUAUUAAUUCUAAAACAAGCUUAAGAAUAUUCUAUUACAUUUUUACAAUAAUAGAUCACCGGAUAAAUAGUUCAGUCACAGCAAACAGUUGUAUUAGUACAUAUUGCUUUGAUCUUCAUGUUGCAAUCAAACUUGACUGUACCUAUCAAAUAUUUUGGUGAGGAAAAUGUUUCUUCUUCCCUUCUUCACUUAGAUAUGUUAUUCAGUAUUGACAUUAAUUUUUUAAAAACAAAUUAUAUAAUCUUUGCAUUAAACACCAGCAUACUUCCAGAAUUAAAGACAGAGUUGCUUCUUUAAAAAGCAUGUGACAUUAUGUCUAAAUAUAUACCGGAAUAUCAAGUUAUUUUCUGUUUGAACCUAUAUUUCUGAGACAUAUUGAUACCGAUACUGCUCCAGGUUACUGCAGCCCUGUGUAAUAUCUAGACACAUCCUUGCCAUGGUCAGAACAAGCUUGCAACAGUCAUAUGCCUUGUGGUAUUGGCACGUCUAAUCUUUGGCCUAUUUAUAACAUGAGCAAAAUGUGUUUCAAACUUCUUCUUUGACAGUGUGUGAAAUACUGAAUUCUGCCAUCAUAUGUAUGUGUGGAGGAGGCUUUGUACUGUCUUUGUUUGUAGGGAAGUUCCAGUUUUUAUCAGGCUGUGCAAUAUGAAAAUUGAUUAGUUUCAUUAUUCUCUGAAGUAGAAACAGAGGUACGAGGCUUAACCCUUAAUGUACCAAUGAUAUCUUGAUACAACUUCAGUGGCUACUCACCAGUGGUAUGGACCUAUUACAAAUACCAGUAGAUAUGGACAUUAUAGAAUGUAUGGACAUGCCAGAGAAAGAUAUUAGUUUUGAACAAAGUUGCAAGAGAACUGACAUACACUGAACAUUUUUAACUGAAUAUUUUUUUAAUCAGUUAAAAAGUCAGUGUUUUGCUCUUAUCCUUAACAUCUGCAUCUGUUGAGGACACAUGAACAAACAAGGAAUAAUUUAAUGUUUAUAAUGAGAUCCCAGUCUGGUUUUAAAGAGAUGUAAUUACUAAAAUAAAUAUUUUAUGUCAGAUAUGAAGUAGAAGUGAAUAUUCUCAAAAUAACAACCUCAUGGAAUCUCGAAAUAGCAACUAUUGUGACUGGAAUAGAUUUCAAUAAUAUGGAUGAUAUAUAGAUGGUCAGUUUGUUUUGACGCCCAUUUAAGAUGAAAAUAAACCUCUUCCAUCUCUUUAAUGCAGGAUUAACAAAGUUGUAAUUUGUAUGGUGAAGAUAGGGACCUCAUUUCAUGAAUUGAUUGUAACUUUAUGACUGUUUAAAUUCUAUAGGCUAUGACAGUACAUGAAUUUGGCCCGACAUUGUGCUAUUGCUAUUAUCACAUCAUGAAAUGAGGCCUUGGUCCCUCAAGCAAUGGUUUCUUAGUGCAAGUUUGCAGCUUAAAUGUCUGAUAAUGGAAUGUGUUAAUCUGGCUUGAGGACAUAUUUCUGUCUGUGAGGCCAUCACGAAGCAUGUUUAGUUCAAAGCAUAAUCACAGGUUGCCUCCAAUAUAAUCAUAAAAUGGGUGCUACACGACAUUGCAUUUGCAUACAUAAUUACUGUAUUAAAAUUUAAUGUUAAAUGUUAUUGUAAAUUCAGAUGUAUUAUUUAUUUGAAACACAAGUCCAUAUACUUAUGUACAGAUGUCUGACACUUGUAUAAAUAUGUGUAUGUCGAUUACAUGGGGACUUGUCAAGUUGAUCUAUUGUGCGAGUGAGGUGUAUUGCUGUCUGUCAAUCAUCCCAGGUGUGCUUGUCGACACACAGCUAUCAGCUGACCAUGUCCUUUCUUGCCUGGAGGCUGAAAGCUGGUUUGAAAGAUUGUGUGUCAUGUUACGAUUUGAGGUUGAAAUCUUCAUUUAUUCAGGUAUGUGUAAUAUAUACUUGUUAUGUACCUUGGUACAUUCCUCAUCAUCUUUGAAUAAAAGCCAAGUUUUCUUA
This 5321-nucleotide long non-coding RNA is filed under the name Haliotis rubra (blacklip abalone). RNAcentral's name for it is "uncharacterized LOC124282663". The stretch from base 1813 to 1871 matches the Rfam family "tRNA", at positions 7 to 64 of the family's 71-position model. Lineage: Eukaryota; Metazoa; Mollusca; Gastropoda; Lepetellida; Haliotidae. The record is from RNAcentral.